CUAUUUCCUCUAUAGUUUUUGCACAAUGAAGAAUCCCAUGGUGGCAGCGAAAACUCUCUCUGAGCUCAAGUUCUAAAUCUCUUCUUUCUCAUAGUGUAGAUGUUCUUAAUUCAAGUCAUGUAAUCGAUUUACUCAAAGAUUAAGAGUAAAGCUCUUAUUUUGCUGUUGAGUUUCUUAGGUAGAGUUAAUUGAGUUUGUGUUGGUUAGAGUUAACCAAUAUUGAGAGUGACAUUGACAGAGUUGUCAUGAGGUGAUUGUAAUAGAGUUAUUAUAAAUUAGAGGAACUUAAGAGUUAAGUUCAAAUGGAGUCUGUAAUCAAGACUUGUUUUGAUUAUAGUGGAGUUUGAGAACCUGUGAGUGCAGGUCAUGGUUUUUCCUUCCUUGAGCAAGUAGGUUUUCACAUAAAUCAUUGUGUUGAUUUAUUUACUAUAUUUUUCUGUGUUUACUGCUUUAUUGCAAUGUUAUUCACUUCAGGGACCUGAUCCCCUAGCGGUGGUGUGUUAGGGUUUUUGCCCGGAUUUUCUUACUAUAUUUAAGUUUUACUUUUUCUUAGAAGGAAAAUUAAAGUUAUCAUAAUUACUUUUACUUUUCCUGAAAGAAAAAAUAUAAUUCUUUUCCAUAUUUGGAUAACCUCUUUCUUAGAGGAAAGGUUUUGGACAUCUAAAAAUAGAAGACCCCCCUUCUCAUACCAUAACACAAUAACAUCCACAAUGUAGUCUUUAAAGAGUCUUUGUUUAGGGGGAGAUUUCUCCCAUUAAGUUUUAAUAUUUUCAAUUUUAUUUUUUAAUAUGUAGGCCGUUUGGCCAAACCAUAUCCAAUAAUAUAUUUUUAUUUUUAUUUUUUAUGUUUCGUCUGAUUUAUCGUCUUAUGGUUUGCAAACUAAAAGCAUCCGCAUGAUCCCCUUUCAAUUUCGAACCUAACAAGUGGUAUCAGAGCUUAUGGUUCAUGGUCCAAUGGUGUGGUGAGACGAGAUUAAAUAGGUUCAAAGCGGUUUUAAAAUUAAGCUGCAACAAUUUGGAUGAUAAUGAAGAUUUUUAUCGAACUACAUGUGGAGAACAAGUUUCAACUAUAUUUUCAACAUUCCUGUUGCUGCAUCUUUAAAAAUAAAAAUAAAAUAUUAAUUUUUAACCCAUUUUUAACCAUAAUAUUUUAAACUUUAUUUUUAACCAUGACAAACAACAGUUAUGAAGAUUAUAUCAAGAACGAAGUUCAUGAACGUGAUAUGAAGAGAAGACGGAUCAAGUGAAGAAAAUCAACCCAAAAAGGGGAGAUUUGUUAGGGUUUUUACCCUGAUUUUCUUACUAUAUUUAAGUUUUACUUUUUUUUGAAGGAAAAUAAAAGUUACCAUAAUUACUUUUACUUUUCCUGAAAUAAAAAUUAUAAUUAUUUUUCGUAUUUGGCUAACCUCUUUCUUGGAGGAAAGGUUUUGGACAUCCAUAAAUAGAAGACCCUCUUCUCAUACCAUAACAUAAUAGCAUUCACAAUGUAGUCCUUUAAAGAGUCUUUGUUUAGGGGGAGAUUUCUCCCAAUAGGUUUAAUGUUUUUUGAUAUUAUGUUUUAUAAUAUGUAGUCCAAUUGGCCA
Molecule: long non-coding RNA, 1582 nt
Filed under: Capsicum annuum
Lineage: Eukaryota; Viridiplantae; Streptophyta; Magnoliopsida; Solanales; Solanaceae
Description: long non-coding RNA (CANN_LNC017829)
Source: RNAcentral